This 394-nucleotide ribosomal RNA is filed under the name uncultured bacterium. RNAcentral's name for it is "partial 16S ribosomal RNA". It matches the Rfam family "Bacterial small subunit ribosomal RNA", at positions 523 to 917 of the family's 1533-position model. The record is from RNAcentral.
AUACGUAGGGUGCAAGCGUUAAUCGGAAUUACUGGGCGUAAAGCGUGCGCAGGCGGUUUUGUAAGACAGUGGUGAAAUCCCCGGGCUCAACCUGGGAACUGCCAUUGUGACUGCAAGGCUGGAGUGCGGCAGAGGGGGAUGGAAUUCCGCGUGUAGCAGUGAAAUGCGUAGAUAUGCGGAGGAACACCGAUGGCGAAGGCAAUCCCCUGGGCCUGCACUGACGCUCAUGCACGAAAGCGUGGGGAGCAAACAGGAUUAGAUACCCUGGUAGUCCACGCCCUAAACGAUGUCAACUGGUUGUUGGGGAUUUAUUUUCUCAGUAACGAAGCUAACGCGUGAAGUUGACCGCCUGGGGAGUACGGCCGCAAGGUUAAAACUCAAAGGAAUUGACGGG